GGAAGAUUUGGGGGUGGGCGCAACGAUAAAGGGGUUAAACUGGGACUCUAUGGAGGCAAAUUACCCAAGGAAUGAAGAUGGGAAUUCUCUGUGCGCCCACGCCCGGCCCUGGAGCAGACGCACCCACGGUCACGCGUGUGAGCACGUGAAGUGGCACCGAUGAGCCUCCAGGACCCGCCGCCCCGGCGGCUGCAGACCCGCCUCUCACCCUCUAGGAGCCCGGGGGCGGGCGGCCCUCUCCCGGCGACACCGAUGGAAACAGAAGACUUCUGCCACAAAACUUUAAAAAAUGCAAAACAGAAAAACAAAGUGAGACUUGGAUGGUUAAUUUAGGCAGCAACUCCAGAUGACCACGCUGCGAGACAGAGGUAGUGAGUGGAGAACGUUUUGUCAAAUUUUAUCAACCUUAUGAGUAUAAAGAAGAAACAGAUUCAUUCUCCUUCUCUCAGCAAUUCUUCGUUCCUUUACAUUCUACUGUAGGUGAACACUGCCCUCUAUUGGCAGAAUGUUCCAACUUUUAAAUAUGUGGGGUUUUGGGUUUUAAUACAAAAAUCAGAAGAAAAAACUCAAAUCUCCAUGAAC
Molecule: long non-coding RNA, 582 nt
Organism: Lagenorhynchus albirostris (white-beaked dolphin)
Lineage: Eukaryota; Metazoa; Chordata; Mammalia; Artiodactyla; Delphinidae
Exons: 3
Source: RefSeq, a predicted model, not a curated record